AUAGCGUAAUGAUGAUGGAAUUAAAUUCCAAGUCUAGCUUAGAUAAUAAUUAAAAUUUUAUUAUC
This is a regulatory RNA element of 65 nucleotides. It matches the Rfam family "L17 ribosomal protein downstream element". The record is from Rfam.